CCCUUAGAUGUCCGGGGCUGCACGCGCGCUACACUGAAUGAAUCAGCGUGCUAGAAAACCUUGUUUGACAUGGCUAGGUAACCCAUUGAAAAUCAUUCGUGAUUGGGAUCGGGACUUGCAAAUGUGUCCCUUGAACGAGGAAUUCCCAGUAAGUGCGGGUCAUCAGCUCGCGUUGAUUACGUCCCUGCCCUUUGUACACACCGCCCGUCGCUGCUACCGAUUGAGUGAUCCGGUGAAUAAUUCGGACUGCGGCAUUGACCGGUUCCCGAUCGUUGCUGCGGAAAGUUUAGUGAACCUUAUCACUUAGAGGAAGGAGAAGUCGUAACA
This 327-nucleotide ribosomal RNA is filed under the name uncultured eukaryote. Its description in RNAcentral is "partial 18S ribosomal RNA". It matches the Rfam family "Eukaryotic small subunit ribosomal RNA", at positions 1470 to 1796 of the family's 1831-position model. The record is from RNAcentral.